GAUGAACGCUAGCGGCAGGCUUAACACAUGCAAGUCGAGGGGUAUUUAUCUUCGGAUAGAGAGACCGGCGCACGGGUGCGUAACGCGUAUGCAAUCUACCUUUUACAGAGGGAUAGCCCAGAGAAAUUUGGAUUAAUACCUCAUAGUAUAUAGACUCGGCAUCGAGAUAAUAUUAAAGUCACAACGGUAAAAGAUGAGCAUGCGUCCCAUUAGCUAGUUGGUAAGGUAACGGCUUACCAAGGCUACGAUGGGUAGGGGUCCUGAGAGGGAGAUCCCCCACACUGGUACUGAGACACGGACCAGACUCCUACGGGAGGCAGCAGUGAGGAAUAUUGGACAAUGGGCGCAAGCCUGAUCCAGCCAUGCCGCGUGCAGGAUGACGGUCCUAUGGAUUGUAAACUGCUUUUAUACGAGAAGAAACACUGCUACGUGUAGCAGCUUGACGGUAUCGUAAGAAUAAGGAUCGGCUAACUCCGUG
RNAcentral lists this ribosomal RNA (478 nucleotides) under uncultured bacterium. Its description in RNAcentral is "partial 16S ribosomal RNA". It matches the Rfam family "Bacterial small subunit ribosomal RNA", at positions 28 to 507 of the family's 1533-position model. The record is from RNAcentral.